Molecule: long non-coding RNA, 236 nt
Filed under: Lathyrus oleraceus (garden pea)
Lineage: Eukaryota; Viridiplantae; Streptophyta; Magnoliopsida; Fabales; Fabaceae
Description: Pisum sativum (pea) long non-coding RNA (PSAT_LNC031275)
Source: RNAcentral
UUAAAGUCUUAUGCUUGGUCUUGACAAAUGAGAGGUUUAACCUUCUUUGAUCCAAACCAAACUCAACUUGAUCCAUGAUCAAGUGAGUUGUUUUGUGUCCAAGAUAGGUUGCUUCUUGGUCAAGGAAAUAACCUAAAGUCAAUAGAAUGCCUUUCCCCUUUUGUUUUGGCAUGGCAAGUUUAUGGAGCUUGGCUUACUAGUCAUGAUCUCUAACUUGUGUUCUUUGCCUAUAUUUU